RNAcentral lists this long non-coding RNA (220 nucleotides) under Elaeis guineensis (African oil palm). RNAcentral's name for it is "long non-coding RNA (EGUI_LNC055412)". Lineage: Eukaryota; Viridiplantae; Streptophyta; Magnoliopsida; Arecales; Arecaceae. The record is from RNAcentral.
UCUGUGAGGUAGAGUAUUUUACGACAUUCGAUGCUGCAAAAAUAGAAGUUGGGUUAUGAAAGUUUAUCAAGAAGCUUGGAGUGGCACCCUUUAAGAUGGUCCAGUCCUGUGUGAUAGAACUAGAGUCAUAGCUCAGUCUAAUGAACUGAAGUCUCAUCAAAAAACCAAACACAUUUUGCAUCACUAUCACCUUGUUUGAAUGAUCGAGAUGAUGUUGACC